GACGAACGCUGGCGGCGUGCUUAACACAUGCAAGUCGAACGGGUCUGCCCUGUUUUUUGCGGGGUGGGUCAGUGGCGAACGGGUGAGUAACACGUGAGUAACCUGCCCCUCACUUCUGGAUAACCGCUUGAAAGGGUGGCUAAUACGGGGUGUUCUGGCUGUGCCGCAUGGUGUGGCUGGGAAAGAUUCACUUUUGUGGUGUUUUGGUGGGGGAUGGGCUCGCGGCCUAUCAGCUUGUUGGUGGGGUGAUGGCCUGCCAAGACUUUGGCGGGUAGCCGGCCUGAGAGGGUGGGCGGUCACACUGGGACUGAGAUACGGCCCAGACUCCUGCGGGAGGCAGCAGUGGGGGGUAUUGCACAAUGGGCGGAAGCCUGAUGCAGCGACGUCGCGUGAGGGAUGGAGGCCUUCGGGUUGUGAACCUCUUUCGCCGGUGAAGAAGGUCCUGCUCUUUGUGGUGGGGUUGACGGUAGCCGGGUUAUGAAGCGCCGGCUAACUACGUG
This 500-nucleotide ribosomal RNA is filed under the name uncultured bacterium. RNAcentral describes it as "partial 16S ribosomal RNA". It matches the Rfam family "Bacterial small subunit ribosomal RNA", at positions 28 to 507 of the family's 1533-position model. The record is from RNAcentral.